Molecule: ribosomal RNA, 497 nt
Filed under: uncultured bacterium
Lineage: Bacteria
Description: partial 16S ribosomal RNA
Rfam family: Bacterial small subunit ribosomal RNA
Source: RNAcentral
GAUGAACGCUGGCGGCGUGCCUAAUACAUGCAAGUCGAGCGAACAGACGAGGAGCUUGCUCCUCUGACGUUAUCGGCGGACGGGUGAGUAACACGUGGAUAACCUACCUAUAAGACUGGGAUAACUUCGGGAAACCGUAUCUAAUACCGGAUAAUAUAUUGAACUGCAUGGUUCAAUAGUUAAAUACGGUUUUUCUGUCACUUAUAGAUUGAUCCGGCCCGCAUUAGCUAGUUGUUAAGGUAACUGCUUAACAAGGCAACGAUGGGUAGCCGACCUGAGAGGGUGAUCGGCCACACGGGCACUGAGAAAGGGUACCGACUCCUACGGGAGGCAGCAGUAGGGAAUCUUCCGCAAUGGGCGAAAGCCUGACGGAGCACAGCCGCGUGAGUGAUGAAGGUCUUCGGAUCGUAAAACUAUGUUAUUAGGGAAGAACAAAUGUGUAAGUAACUAUGCACGUCUUGACGGUACCUAAUCAGAAAGCCACGGCUAACUACGUG